GAUGGAUCCGUCGUGGAAUCGCCUAAUAUUUGUCCCGGACAUCAAAUACGGCAUAAGAAAUAAUUUCCACCCACCCGAAAUGACCACAUUAUAUUUUUUGGCAUUUUACAGCCAUAAAACUGCAAAUUCGCGCGAGUCCCAAAUUUUGUGUGCGCCCAUGCCUUCCUCCUGGGGCCCUGAUGGAUCCGUCGUGGAAUCGCCUAAUAUUUGUCCCGGACAUCAAAUACGGCCUAAGAAACAAUUUCCACCCUCUCGAAAUGACCACAUUAUAUUUUUUGGCAUUUUACAGCCAUAAAACUGCAAAUUCGCGCGAGUCCCAAAUUUUUUGUGCGCCCAUGCCUUCCGCCUGGGGCCCGGAUGGAUCCGUCAUGGAAUCGCCUAAUAUUUGUCCCGUACAUCAAAUACGGCAUAAGAAAUAAUUUCCACCCACUCGAAAUGACCACAUUAUAUAUUUUGGCAUUUUACAGCCAUAAAACUGCAAAUCCGCGCGAGUCCCAAAUUUUUGUGUGCUAUAGCCCAUGUCUUCCGCCUUGGGCCGGAUGGAUCCAUCGUGGAAUCGCCUAAUAUUUGUCCCGGACAUCAAAUACGGCAUAAGAAACAAUUUCCACCCACUCGAAAUGACCACAUUAUAUUUUUUG
RNAcentral lists this long non-coding RNA (638 nucleotides) under Nicotiana tabacum (common tobacco). RNAcentral describes it as "long non-coding RNA (NTAB_LNC010700)". Lineage: Eukaryota; Viridiplantae; Streptophyta; Magnoliopsida; Solanales; Solanaceae. The record is from RNAcentral.